Molecule: ribosomal RNA, 1162 nt
Filed under: Daldinia sp. CHTAE23
Lineage: Eukaryota; Fungi; Ascomycota; Sordariomycetes; Xylariales; Hypoxylaceae
Description: eukaryotic LSU rRNA
Rfam family: Eukaryotic large subunit ribosomal RNA (bases 544-1162)
Source: RNAcentral
UCGUAACAAGGUCUCCGUUGGUGAACCAGCGGAGGGAUCAUUACUGAGUUAUCUAAACUCCCAACCCUAUGUGAACCUUACCGUCGUUGCCUCGGCGGGCUGUGCUUACCCGGUAGCUACCCUGUAGCUACCCGGUAGGUACGCUGCAAGCCCGCCGGUGGACCACUAAACUCUGUUUAAUUAUACUGUAUCUCUGAAUGCUUCAACUUAAUAAGUUAAAACUUUCAACAACGGAUCUCUUGGUUCUGGCAUCGAUGAAGAACGCAGCGAAAUGCGAUAAGUAAUGUGAAUUGCAGAAUUCAGUGAAUCAUCGAAUCUUUGAACGCACAUUGCGCCCGCUAGUAUUCUAGCGGGCAUGCCUGUCCGAGCGUCAUUUCAACCCUUAAGCCUAGCUGCUUAGUGUUGGGAAUCUGCCCUGUACCUACAGCGCAGUUCCUCAAAGUAAUCGGCGGAGUUAGGGCAUACUCUAAGCGUAGUAAUAUUUCUUCUCGCUUCUGUAGUUGUCCUGGCGGCUUGCCGUUAAACCCCUAUAUUUCUAGUGGUUGACCUCGGAUCAGGUAGGAGUACCCGCUGAACUUAAGCAUAUCAAGCAAAAGAAACCAACAGGGAUUGCCCUAGUAACGGCGAGUGAAGCGGCAACAGCUCAAAUUUGAAAUCUGGCCCUCGCGGUCCGAGUUGUAAUUUGUAGAGGAUGCUUUUGGUUAGGUACCUUCCGAGUUCCCUGGAACGGGACGCCAGAGAGGGUGAGAGCCCCGUACGGUUGGAUACCGAGCCUCUAUAUAGCUCCUUCGACGAGUCGAGUAGUUUGGGAAUGCUGCUCUAAAUGGGAGGUAAAUUUCUUCUAAAGCUAAAUACCGGCCAGAGACCGAUAGCGCACAAGUAGAGUGAUCGAAAGAUGAAAAGUACUUUGAAAAGAGGGUUAAAUAGCACGUGAAAUUGUUGAAAGGGAAGCGUUUGCGACCAGACUUUUUCCGGGCGGAUCAUCCGGUGUUCUCACCGGUGCACUUCGCCCGGUUUAGGCCAGCAUCGGUUCUCCUAGGGGGAUAAAGGCGGGGGGAACGUGGCUCCUUCGGGAGUGUUAUAGCCCCCCGCGUAAUACCCCUCGGGGGACCGAGGAACGCGCAUCUGCAAGGAUGCNGGCGUAAUGGUCGCCAACGACCCG